UUUUUUUUGGGGGGGGGGGGUACCAAAUUACUUCAUUUGAAGUAAUGGUACAAAUGAAAGACAUGAAUGGAUGAUUUGGUACAAGUUAUAGAGAAGGUAAAGGUCACGCCAACAUGCAGAGUGG
This is a long non-coding RNA of Pipistrellus kuhlii (Kuhl's pipistrelle), 124 nucleotides long. RefSeq lists it as uncharacterized. NCBI's taxonomy places the organism in Eukaryota, Metazoa, Chordata, Mammalia, Chiroptera, Vespertilionidae. The transcript is spliced from 3 exons. The record is from RefSeq and is a predicted model, not a curated record.